Molecule: ribosomal RNA, 497 nt
Filed under: uncultured bacterium
Lineage: Bacteria
Description: partial 16S ribosomal RNA
Rfam family: Bacterial small subunit ribosomal RNA
Source: RNAcentral
GAUGAACGCUGGCGGCGUGCCUAAUACAUGCAAGUCGAGCGAACGGACGAGAAGCUUGCUUCUCUGAUGUUAGCGGCGGACGGGUGAGUAACACGUGGAUAACCUACCUAUAAGACUGGGAUAACUUCGGGAAACCGGAGCUAAUACCGGAUAAUAUUUUGAACCGCAUGGUUCAAAAGUGAAAGACGGUCUUGCUGUCACUUAUAGAUGGAUCCGCGCUGCAUUAGCUAGUUGGUAAGGUAACGGGUUACCAAGGCAACGAUGCAUAGCCGACCGGAGAGGGUGAUCGGCCACACUGGAACUGAGACACGGUCAAGACUCCUACGGGAGGCAGCAGUAGGGAAUCUUCCGCAAUGGGCGAAAGCCUGACGGAGCAACGCCGCGUGAGUGAUGAAGGUCUUCGGAUCGUAAAACUCUGUUAUUAGGGAAGAACAUAUGUGUAAGUAACUGUGCACAUCUUGACGGUACCUAAUCAGAAAGCCACGGCUAACUACGUG